RNAcentral lists this ribosomal RNA (761 nucleotides) under Prevotella melaninogenica. RNAcentral's name for it is "bacterial SSU rRNA". It matches the Rfam family "Bacterial small subunit ribosomal RNA", at positions 28 to 776 of the family's 1533-position model. The record is from RNAcentral. Lineage: Bacteria; Pseudomonadati; Bacteroidota; Bacteroidia; Bacteroidales; Prevotellaceae.
GAUGAACGCUAGCUACAGGCUUAACACAUGCAAGUCGAGGGGAAACGGCAUUAAGUGCUUGCACUUUUUGGACGUCGACCGGCGCACGGGUGAGUAAUGCGUAUCCAACCUUCCCAUGACUAAGGGAUAACCUGCCGAAAGGCAGACUAAUACCUUAUGGUCUUCACUGACGGCAUCAGAUGUGAAGUAAAGAUUUAUCGGUUAUGGAUGGGGAUGCGUCUGAUUAGCUUGUUGGCGGGGUAACGGCCCACCAAGGCAACGAUCAGUAGGGGUUCUGAGAGGAAGGUCCCCCACAUUGGAAUUGAGACACGGUCCAAACUCCUACGGGAGGCAGCAGUGAGGAAUAUUGGUCAAUGGGCGAGAGCCUGAACCAGCCAAGUAGCGUGCAGGAUGACGGCCCUAUGGGUUGUAAACUGCUUUUGUAUGGGGAUAAAGUCAGUCACGUGUGAUUGUUUGCAGGUACCAUACGAAUAAGGACCGGCUAAUUCCGUGCCAGCAGCCGCGGUAAUACGGAAGGUCCGGGCGUUAUCCGGAUUUAUUGGGUUUAAAGGGAGCGUAGGCUGGAGAUUAAGUGUGUUGUGAAAUGUAGACGCUCAACGUCUGACUUGCAGCGCAUACUGGUUUCCUUGAGUACGCACAACGUUGGCGGAAUUCGUCGUGUAGCGGUGAAAUGCUUAGAUAUGACGAAGAACUCCGAUUGCGAAGGCAGCUGACGGGAGCGCAACUGACGCUGAAGCUCGAAGGUGCGGGUAUCGAACAGG